Molecule: transfer RNA, 47 nt
Filed under: Parachtes limbarae
Lineage: Eukaryota; Metazoa; Arthropoda; Arachnida; Araneae; Dysderidae
Description: tRNA-Arg
Source: RNAcentral
UAGUAUUAUAAGUGUACUUAGUUUCGACCUAAGUUUAGCUAAAUUUA